This 497-nucleotide ribosomal RNA is filed under the name uncultured bacterium. RNAcentral's name for it is "partial 16S ribosomal RNA". It matches the Rfam family "Bacterial small subunit ribosomal RNA", at positions 28 to 507 of the family's 1533-position model. The record is from RNAcentral.
GAUGAACGCUGGCGGCGUGCCUAAUACAUGCAAGUCGAGCGAACGGACGAGAAGCUUGCUUCUCUGAUGUUAGCGGCGGACGGGUGAGUAACACGUGGAUAACCUACCUAUAAGACUGGGAUAAUUUCGGGAAACCGGAGCUAAUACCGGAUAAUAUUUUGAACCGCAUGGUUCAAAAGUGAAAGACGGUCUUGCUGUCACUUAUAGAUGGUUCCGCGCUGCAUUAGCUAGUUGGUAAGGUAACGGCUUACCAAGGCGACGAUGCAUAGCCGACCUGAGAGGGUGAUCGGCCACACUGGAACUGAGACACGGUCCAGACUCCUACGGGAGGCAGCAGUAGGGAAUCUUCCGCAAUGGGCGAAAGCCUGACGGAGCAACGCCGCGUGAGUGAUGAAGGUCUUCGGAUCGUAAAACUCUGUUAUUAGGGAAGAACAUAUGUGUAAGUAACUGUGCACAUCUUGACGGUACCUAAUCAGAAAGCCACGGCUAACUACGUG